RNAcentral lists this ribosomal RNA (253 nucleotides) under uncultured bacterium. Its description in RNAcentral is "partial 16S ribosomal RNA". It matches the Rfam family "Bacterial small subunit ribosomal RNA", at positions 524 to 776 of the family's 1533-position model. The record is from RNAcentral.
UACGAAUCGUCCAAACGUUGUUCGGAUUCACUGGGUUUAAAGGGCGCGUAGGCGGUGCGUUAAGUCGGCGGUGAAAUACUUCGGCUCAACCGGAGAAUUGCCGCUGAAACUAGCGUGCUCGAGGAAGGUAGAGGUGCGUGGAACUUCCGGUGGAGCGGUGAAAUGCGUUGAUAUCGGAAGGAACACCUGUGGCGAAAGCGGCGCACUGGACCUUUUCUGACGCUGAGGCGCGAAAGCCAGGGGAGCGAACGGG